This is a transfer RNA of Ovis aries (sheep), 73 nucleotides long. It matches the Rfam family "tRNA". From Rfam's summary of the family: Transfer RNA (tRNA) molecules are approximately 80 nucleotides in length. Their secondary structure includes four short double-helical elements and three loops (D, anti-codon, and T loops). Lineage: Eukaryota; Metazoa; Chordata; Mammalia; Artiodactyla; Bovidae. The record is from Rfam.
UUCCUGAUGGCUCAGAGGAUAAAGCAUCUACCUGCAAUGCAGGAGACCCAGGUUCAAUCUCCGGGUUGGGAAG